GCAGGUGUUACCCGCAACCAGGUCUGAAGAAUGAAGAGAGCCCUUUGGAAGAGCAGCAUCUUGGCAGCAUGUGGGGCAGGAGGUUUAGGAAAGCCACAAUGAAAUCCAAGCACCGAAGGAACCUACACAAAAGGAUACCUCAUCCUUCUGGAAACCUGUCAAAAACUAAUAAGACAAGGACCUUUCUUACUGGCUCAACACAGUCCAGUAUUUCCUGUGUGGGAAUGCAUACAGCCUAAACUAUGGAAGAAACAGAGAAAUUUGUCGAUACUCAGAAAAAGGUAAGGUUUUAUGUCUUAGAAAGUUACAUUUUGCCAUGUGAUAUGAACAGGGAAAAGAGAAGAAAACAGCAAUAUAUCAGAUCUGAAUUUCUUUAUCAGUCAUCAUACCUGAGAAUUAUUUGAUAAUACUACUCCAAGCAUUCAGCAUCCUCAAAUUGAUGUCAACCCUUUCUUAGCACCAUUUUUAGUUCCUUCUUUUUCCUUCCUAGGAAGUUAAGCCAAAAGAGAGUGAUAAGACCUCUUGUUUUUCAUUAUCAAGAAACUUAUUUAAGACAUAUUUCUGGCUUUGUUUCCAACUUAUUUUUAAAUUUAGUUGAUCAGGAAAGGGGACAGCAUAUGAAAAGAGCGUUAGCAUUUUCUAAGCUAUGACAUUUUGCACUGUAUAACUUGAAAGGUUGACAGGGCCACUACACUGCUGAGAAUAUGUUUUUUAUUUUUAUUUAUUUAUUUAUUUAUUUUUAAAUUAAGAGCUGCACCAAGGCCAUUCUCAAACAGAUACACUGUCCCAAAAUCAAGGCAGAUAGAAGAAGAGCCUUUGUUGAGGCUGAUCUCCAGACAUGAGGAAUGUCUGAAGAACAAGGAUUUGCAGUUUGAGGUCAUGGAAAAUAGGAGGCUUAUUUUGUUCUCUUCCAUCCAUCUCAUCAGCAGAAAGCCCUUACCACUAGGAAGGGAAAACAAACCUGAACAUGCCAGAGAUUUUACACCUUUUCAAAUGAAUGAGGCAAAAAAACAUUUAUUCCUCUUCUGUAGUGGUCUGCCUUGCUGACUCAGUGUUGUCCUAAUUGUUGUGUUUCCUUGAUAUCAUUCUGUAAGUUUCUUUUGGUGCACAUUUCCUCACAGAAAGCAGCUAUUUGAUUCUUCUGCAGGCGUAAGCACCACAGUUCCCAUGCCAGCUAUUUCUUACUACCCGAGGAUGUGAUUCAGCACUGUACAGAGAGCAUCCAUUUUCCUUGUACUUGGCUCCCAGGCUUUCUCCAUUUCUUUUGUUUUGGGGCAGGUGAGAGAUCAUGCCUUAGGUUACUGGUUAAUAUUUGAAGUUGUACUAAAGUGCGUUGUGGCCUGGCCCCCCACACCAUGAACUGAAAAAAAUGUGUAUUCCAUUUCUGGAUGGCUGUUCUCCAGUGAGUUUUCUCAGCAUAAUUCUUUCCAGAUUAAAGUAAUGAUUUGCUAGAAUGAUUAAAAGUAAGGGGAGUGGUGAAGUGUUCAGUAGUUUUCCAAGUUGACAUUCUGUGUUUCUUUUUAUCUCUAAGCAUGAAAUCUGUUUUCUUUCUGUAUAUUGACUGACAUAUUGGUUCAUAGGUUUGUAAUAUGGCUUAUUUCAUGUAUUCAAAAGGCUAAGCAAAAGUCUUUUAAAGUGCAGCCAUAUCCUCAUAUUAGCAAUAAAUAAAUAAAUAAAUAAAUAAAUAAAUAAAUAAUCUUUAGUUCUCCUGGAUUCUGUCUAAUCUAUUGUCACAUAGCAUUUUUUUUUCUGACAUCUGAUAAAUAGUUUUC
This is a long non-coding RNA of Anas platyrhynchos (mallard), 1772 nucleotides long. RefSeq lists it as uncharacterized. The record is from RefSeq and is a predicted model, not a curated record. Lineage: Eukaryota; Metazoa; Chordata; Aves; Anseriformes; Anatidae.